Long non-coding RNA from Marmota monax (woodchuck), 1288 nucleotides. RefSeq lists it as uncharacterized. The record is from RefSeq and is a predicted model, not a curated record. The transcript is spliced from 2 exons. Lineage: Eukaryota; Metazoa; Chordata; Mammalia; Rodentia; Sciuridae.
UCUGGGAGAGCUCCAGCCACCAGGAAGGCAGAGGUCUCGAAGGACACUAAUCCAAAACCACAUUCCCCAACCUCCCGGCCUGCCCUCAGUCACUAUUUAACCUCUUUGCUUCCCUCCCUCAUCCUCUCAGACGCUCACUGCUGGUCGACUGUUCUGACUAGAGAGCCCCAAAACAGCAGCACUUCUUGGAGAGCAAAGGACACUGAAGAAGGGCCAAGGUCACCCCCUUGGUCUCACCCCGUCUCUGCAUCCUUCCUGGACCCCUUCCAUCCUCCCUGGGAACCACCUGGUCGGGGGAUUCGAGAUGCCUUUCUCAAGACCUGCAUUUUAAAAGGACAUCCAGCUGAAAAAAUAAAUUACUGACGAGGAGCUGCCCCGCUUUGGUCGCGGAUCCCACUUACCUGGGACUAACCCCGCUUUGGUCGCGGAUCCCACUUACCUGGGACUAACCGGUGCACCACCCCUGACUGCUGAAAGUUCUGGUUCCCUGGUUUCGGCACUACUUGUCGCGACCCCUUGCCCGCAAGGAAGACGCAACUCAGGAAUCUUCUUUCAGCAGUUUAUUCAGGCCCUUGAUAUUUCUUCUUCUCCUUCUCGGAUGCCCCUCCCAGCCUUAAUAAAGCAUCCCAAGCCCCAAUGCAAAGCUGCCACGUGGAGCUUUCUCAUAGGGUGGUGAAAAACCAUGCGCCAACUCUCCCAAAUAAGGAGUUGUUUGUCACAGACCACAGCAGAGCCAGCGCCAUCUUGUAAUGGCGACCAUAGUCUGCAGAAACGGCAGAAGCGGCUCACCACAAAAUAUUACCAUAAUAUUUGUGCACAUUGCUUGUUUGGGUUUUUAUUUAACAAUAUGUCUUGUUGAGUCUUAGAUAUACAUUUAGAUAAAGUACACAUAAGGCUUAUCUGAUUGUUUUUACAGCUUCACAGUAGUUCAUCAUCAGGGUACACCACACUUUGUUGAACACUGUCAAUGGACCCUGAUGCCACCCCCCCACCCCAUGUUGUAGCAUUUAUCAGAAUUUCUUUCCUUUUUAAGGCUGAAUAAUAUUCUACGUUAACAGAAGUAACAGAGUUUGAUAUUACAAGGAUGCUGCAAUGCUUGUGCUUGACCACAUGUAAAUUUCUCAUGCCUGUCAGUGUAUGUGGAGGAUAAUAAACCUUGCUAGAUGUUGCCAAACUCUUCUCUGUGAAGGCUGCACCAAUCGUAUGAGUGUGUGUGAGCAUUGUGAGUGAUCAUUCCCCCAAACACAAUAUUUUUGUUUUGCUCCAAUAAAUGCACUGUUGAACUGUU